This 398-nucleotide ribosomal RNA is filed under the name uncultured soil bacterium. Its description in RNAcentral is "bacterial SSU rRNA". It matches the Rfam family "Bacterial small subunit ribosomal RNA", at positions 26 to 412 of the family's 1533-position model. The record is from RNAcentral.
AGAGUGAACGCUGGCGGUAGGCCUAACACAUGCAAGUCGAACGGCAGCACGGUAAGAGCUUGCUCUUAUGGGUGGCGAGUGGCGGACGGGUGAGGAAUACAUCGGAAUCUACCUUUUGGUGGGGGAUAACGUAGGGAAACUUACGCUAAUACCGCAUACGCCCUUCGGGGGAAAGCCGGGGACCAGCAAUGGCCUGGCGCUGAUAGAUGAGCCGAUGUCGGAUUAGCUAGUGGUGAGGUAAUGGCUCACCAAGGCGACGAUCCGUAGCUGGUCUGGAGAGGAUGAUCAGCCACACUGGAACUGAGACACGGUCCAGCUCCUACGGGAGCAGCAGUGGGGAAUAGUGGACAAGUGGGCGCAAGCCUGAUACCGACGCCAGUACCGCGGUGGUAGAAGAA